UUGCAAUGAUGCUUUCCACUCACUUUGAUCUUCACUAUUCUUCAAUUAUUUUGAUUUCUCUUGAAGCAAUCUCUUUCCAUUUCACCAAUUUAAUUUUGAAGUGAUGUGAAUAGGAAAUAAUGUUUUUGAGUAGAUAAUGGGAGGAAAAGAUAGAAACAAUAUUUAGUACACUUUCUUGUACCACCCGCAAGUUUGGGAUAGUAAAUUGCCAUGAAUCCUAGUGGUUUGAUGAAAAGUUAAAGUUGAAUAAAAAUCUGUGUUAAGAGGGAAUUUUUUGGAAGUUGAUAUGAAUGUGCUCUCUUUGAUUCAAUAAAAAAAAAAUUGUUGUCUUUCAUAAAAAAAAACUGAUGCCUUUUCAUUUAAAAUAAACACCAAAAAGUAACGCCUUUAUUAAUAGGUAUAGAUUAAAAACAUCGAGACUCAUUUUGUUUAUGAAAACGAUGAGUUUGAUUACGAUGAUAUGAAUCUUACUCAUUAAGAUGUUACUAAUAUGAUUUUCUUCUUCCCCACCUUCAAGGACAAGUUGGUUGAUGCAAGCGGGAUGAGGCCAAUAGAAACACCAACCAUAAAACAAUUAUAGGGGUCGCGAAUGGAGGUCAUCAAUUCAACACAUGCUGCUUUUGGGUAUCCUGGGUUUCAGAGAAGGAAAAGGGUUCGUUGAAAAAGGGAAGAUGAGUUCGAUGAAGAAUAAGAGAAGAAGGGUUCUAUGAAGAAUAGAAGAAUGGAGUAAUUGUAUGCUUCUGGUUAAUAAAUUGUUUUGAGUUUUUGCAGAAAUUAUGCGUUGGUCGCCGACACGGUUGCAGCGGUUUCCGGUGCGGUGGUCGCCGGUGAAAGUUCUCCGAUCCCAAAAUAAAUAUAUGGGUUUUGUUGCAGACAUGAUGGGGAAGAAUAAAAUCAUAUUAGUUUUUUGAAUGGAGAUUUGCGGUGGCCGGAAAGUAAGAGAGAAGGUGGUGGUUAGGGUUUUUAAAAUCUUACCAAUCUAAUAAUAAGUUGGUGGCUUUUUGAAGAGGAAGAGUAGAGUAGUCCAAUGGUGGUGGUGGUGUGGUAAAACGAAGUUGGACGGUGGAGUAAUGGUGCUGAAGUAUUUUGAUGGUGGUUCAAGAGGGAGAAGAUGAUGAGCGUAUAGAGAAGAAGAAAGAGGAGAUAGUUAUGUUUUUUUUUUUGGCAGUAAAAUAAUAAUAAUAAUGAUAAUUAUCAUAUGUUGUGAGUCCAGGGUAUGUAAUGUGUGCUUUUUAAAUCCAGUCGUUGAUCACAUAUAUUAACUGACACGUGGAAAAGAGUUAAUAGAUUUUGCAAAAUAUUAACGAAGAGGUCCAAAAUAGUAAACGACAUAAGAUUUAUGGGACCAAAUUAAGACAUUUUAUACUUAGAGGACCAAAUUGAAAAUCAAAAAUAAGUUAAGAGACCUAAUAAUGUAUUAAGCUAUAAAUUUAUUAUGUUUCUUUUUAUUUUUUGACAAAAAUUUUAUUAUGUUUCUUGAUUUUUAAAUAAUUACUUAUUUCCUUAAAAAUAAUGGAGAAAACUUAGGUGCAAUUCCUUAG
Molecule: long non-coding RNA, 1541 nt
Filed under: Medicago truncatula (barrel medic)
Lineage: Eukaryota; Viridiplantae; Streptophyta; Magnoliopsida; Fabales; Fabaceae
Description: long non-coding RNA (MTRU_LNC000400)
Source: RNAcentral